Molecule: long non-coding RNA, 327 nt
Filed under: Physeter macrocephalus (sperm whale)
Lineage: Eukaryota; Metazoa; Chordata; Mammalia; Artiodactyla; Physeteridae
Description: Physeter catodon (sperm whale) lncRNA (ENSPCTG00005016000.1)
Source: RNAcentral
CUUGUGCGUGGGGUGCUGCAGAAUGAGAAGACGCGAGGCAGAAACUCUUGGAGCGGCUGAGUUGGGUUCAUCUUGAGAGUUUCAUGUUUGAAGCCCAUUAAGAGCCCAGCACAGGCCUGCAGGGCUCCAGGUGGACGGAGGGGACUGUGAACCGUGCAGCUGCUUGGAAUAGGCUGAUGACCAUGACAGGUGAUGAGCAAUGUGGCCGACACUGUCCUUCUUUAAACAGCAUCCAGAGGUAGAAGAAAAGUAGGCAUGUCUCCUCCAUCUUUCCUUUUCUUGUGAUGGUGACCUUGGAAGCGUAUGACCUGGCUGGUAUAGGUACUA